UUCUCCCCCCACUGGCAUUAACAUAACAUUGGUAUCCCAUACUCUCUCAUGGCGUCCAACCCAAAUUUGUUCCUUGGAAAACCCUAACCACAAUAUCCAACACACACCACCAUCCUCCACUCCUGCUCUAUUUCAGAUGCGUUCCAUCACCUUCAUCACCACCAUCAAUUUAAACCCCUACACCACCUUCCACAAUGUUUACAACCACAGCCAUUUGCCCCAAAACCGGCCUGUUUCAAAUCCAUUUUCCCUGGCCUAUCAUCUACCAACCUCAACUUCAAGCCGACUCAAUCGCAAAUGUUCGAGCCAUAAUCAGAACCAUAUAAGCUUUAACAUAAUCGCAAAUGUUUUAGGUUGCGGCUUAUGAAUUGUUCAAAAAAAAUCGAAUCGUUUAAAUCAGUUGUUAUAUAUCAUCUCAUUUUUCUUUAAUUUUUGGUACCCUAAUUACCAGUAAUCAUCUCUCAGUCUCUCUCAACAUAUUACAGCCCAUGUUGCUUCGUCAAAUAUAUGAAGGCCGAUUGAUCGAAGCCAUCUCUGAUUUGGUCUACACAAACUUUUCCAAAUUUAGAUUUGUUGCUUUCUUCUUGAUUUGGUUCACAAUAAGUACUAUAAGGUAAUUCUAUGUUUAUACCUUUCUCAUCCAGAUUUUUGUUUUAUUUUUAUAGGGUUUCGUUUUGAAGAAUAAGGCAAAGCACUCCAUAUAUUCGAUGGAAUGCCCCAGAUAAGACGCACCUUUAUAUUUUGCUGGUUUUUGAUAUUUGGAAGAAGAUAGGUAUCAUUUAGUCUUCAUUUUGUUGUUUUAUUUUUGUUUCUGACACUUUUUGGUUUACAAACAAUUAUGUUGAGGUUGUGCCCAGUGAAAUCACAUCACAGGAAGCUAAGGGUAUGAUAACUUCAAUAUACACAGAAGUCAAAAAAAGAAAGAUCCUGGUACACCUUAGACACUAGGGGGAUUUUUGGUUAAAGUACUUUCAAGGUGGUAUUUUUACUGCUUUCUUUUGUUGAGC
RNAcentral lists this long non-coding RNA (1007 nucleotides) under Lactuca sativa (garden lettuce). RNAcentral's name for it is "long non-coding RNA (LSAT_LNC009303)". Lineage: Eukaryota; Viridiplantae; Streptophyta; Magnoliopsida; Asterales; Asteraceae. The record is from RNAcentral.